This 200-nucleotide non-coding RNA is filed under the name Polaribacter sp. The record is from RNAcentral. Lineage: Bacteria; Pseudomonadati; Bacteroidota; Flavobacteriia; Flavobacteriales; Flavobacteriaceae.
UAAAUUUGAAUAGAAUUUGGUUUUAAUAACAAUUCUAAUUGUUAUAAUUAAAAGGGAAAUAGGUGUAACUCCUGUACUGUUCCCGCAGCUGUAAGCUCUACUAAAGGUUUUUACAUACUUUGUCACUGUUUUUAAUUUAAAAACGGGAAGACGUAAAAACUAGAGUAAGUCAGAAGACCUGCCAAUUUUAAACUCGUCAA